RNAcentral lists this ribosomal RNA (519 nucleotides) under Thamnophis sirtalis. RNAcentral describes it as "partial 16S ribosomal RNA". It matches the Rfam family "Bacterial large subunit ribosomal RNA", at positions 1811 to 2605 of the family's 2925-position model. Lineage: Eukaryota; Metazoa; Chordata; Lepidosauria; Squamata; Natricidae. The record is from RNAcentral.
AAACAUAACCUUUAGCCAAAAAAGUAUUAAAGGCAACGCCUGCCCAGUGAAUAGUUCAACGGCCGCGGUACCCUAACCGUGCAAAGGUAGCAUAAUCAUUUGUCUAUUAAUUGUAGACCUGUAUGAAUGGCAAAAUGAGGGUUCAACUGUCUCUUAUAAUAAGUCUAUUAAACUGAUCUCCUAGUAAAAAAGCUAGGAUACCCCCAUAAGACCAGAAGACCCUGUGAAGCUUAAACUAAACCAUUAAACCCAAUAAUGACUACUUUCGGUUGGGGCGACCUUGGAAAUAAAAAUAACUUCCAAUACAUAUGACAUACCACACCCACUAGGCCUACAAGCCAAUAAAUGACCCAGUACUACUGAUAAUAGAACAAAGUUACUCCAGGGAUAACAGCGCUAUCUUCUUCAAGAGCCCAUAUCAAAAAGAAGGUUUACGACCUCGAUGUUGGAUCAGGACAUCCUAAUGGUGCAACCGCUAUUAAGGGUUCGUUUGUUCAACGAUUAAUGUCCUACGUGAUC